This 384-nucleotide long non-coding RNA is filed under the name Paramuricea clavata. Lineage: Eukaryota; Metazoa; Cnidaria; Anthozoa; Malacalcyonacea; Plexauridae. The record is from RNAcentral.
CUUUAAACUGAAGAACUUCAUUGGCUUGUACACAUUGGUUUCUUUGCCACAUAGUUAAUUUGCUGUUGCUUGUAGAUGUUUUAUAAACCAGUACAGCGAAGUAGCGAAAUUUCGGGCCGUCUUUCACAACAAAUAACAUCACAAUAACUGCACAUCCUUUUCUCUUUAAUACAGAAUCGUUUUCCCUGUCCAUUGAGUUAUAAUUUCCAAGACUAACGAGUCGCUAAAACGUAAAAUUAGCGGGUAUUUGUGAACAAAAAUGCCCUUUGAUAUAACACGAGGUAACCGGCGCCAUCUUGUCUUCUCCAAACAUUACAGAUUUUCCCGCCAAAACCCGCCCCCAAAGUCCCGUAUGUACCUGACGUCACAAGUAUCAUGGACGGG